GAUGAACGCUGACAGAAUGCUUAACACAUGCAAGUCGACUCGAGUCUUCGGACUUGGGUGGCGCACGGGUGAGUAACGCGUAAAGAACUUGCCUCUUAGACCGGGACAACAUCUGGAAACGGAUGCUAAUACCGGAUAUUAUGGUUUUUUCGCAUGGAGGAAUCAUGAAAGCUAGAUGCGCUAAGAGAGAGCUUUGCGUCCCAUUAGCUGGUUGGUGAGGUAACGGCCCACCAAGGCAAUGAUGGGUAGCCGGCCUGAGAGGGUGAACGGCCACAAGGGGACUGAGACACGGCCCUUACUCCUACGGGAGGCAGCAGUGGGGAAUAUUGGACAAUGGACCGCAAGUCUGAUCCAGCAAUUCUGUGUGCACGAUGACGUUUUUCGGAAUGUAAAGUGCUUUCAGUCGGGAAGAAGUCAGUGACGGUACCGACAGAAGAAGCGACGGCUAAAUACGUGCCAGCAGCCGCGGUAAUACGUAUGUCGCAAGCGUUAUCCGGAUUUAUUGGGCGUAAAGCGCGUCUAGGCGGCAAGGAAAGUCUGAUGUGAAAAUGCGGAGCUCAACUCCGUAUGGCGUUGGAAACUGCCUUACUAGAGUACUGGAGAGGUAGGCGGAACUACAAGUGUAGAGGUGAAAUUCGUAUAUAUUUGUAGGAAUGCCGAUGGGGAAGCCAGCCUACUGGACAGAUACUGACGCUAAGCGCGAAAGCGUGGGUUGCGAACAGG
RNAcentral lists this ribosomal RNA (723 nucleotides) under uncultured Fusobacterium sp. RNAcentral's name for it is "bacterial SSU rRNA". It matches the Rfam family "Bacterial small subunit ribosomal RNA", at positions 28 to 776 of the family's 1533-position model. Lineage: Bacteria; Fusobacteriati; Fusobacteriota; Fusobacteriia; Fusobacteriales; Fusobacteriaceae. The record is from RNAcentral.